CAACAACAGGCAGAAGGAACGCUUCAGAAUUCAUCAAGAAGACCAAACAUGGGCUACAGAGAUGGCUCAGAGGGGAAGGGCCUCCGCACAUACAUGCUGCCCAAAUGAAUAAGCAGUCAUACACAGAUACAUUAAAAGAAAAAACAUCUAAAGAAGAGAAAACAACAGAAUUGAUAUAAGAGGACUGAAGACAUAGCUCAGCUACUCAAGGUUCUUGAAGCUGAAGCAUGGAUCAAGCUGCUGAACUUUCUCUCAGAUUUACAUCUGUUUGUGGUCCAUGCUUUACCAGUGUUCUAUAGUUCUGAACAGAUAGCAUGACCUAGGCAGCCCUUGGGAAAAAAAAAAGGCAUGUAUUGAUUUAUUGGGGGCUUGUUCACAGUCUCGCAGGCAGAUCCUGGAGCUGAGAGCUACAUCCUGAACCGUAGGCAGCAGGCAGAAAGACCCUGAAAUUGGCAUAAGUUUCAGAAACCUCAAAGUUCACCACUGUGACACAAUUCCUCCAACAAGACCACACCUCUUAACAGUUCUACUCCCUAAUGUAUAAGCAAAUAUAAGAGCCUAUGGGGCCAUUUUUAUUCGAACCACCACACUACACACUACUCAUUAUAGCACCCAGGACUAUGUCACACUGGCACAAGGCUCAAAGGAACAGGAUAAAACAAAAAACAAAAAACAAAAAACAAAAAACCAUGAAUAGGUGAUUUG
Mastomys coucha (southern multimammate mouse) is the source of this 705-nucleotide long non-coding RNA. RefSeq lists it as uncharacterized. The transcript is spliced from 3 exons. Lineage: Eukaryota; Metazoa; Chordata; Mammalia; Rodentia; Muridae. The record is from RefSeq and is a predicted model, not a curated record.